GUCGUACAGGUCUCCGUAGGUGAACCUGCGGAGGGAUCAUUACACAAUAACAAGGCGGGCUGGACACCCCCAGCCGGGCACUGCUUCACCGCGUGCGCGGCUGGGCCGGCCCUGCUGAAUUAUUCACCCGUGUCUUUUGCGUACUUCUUGUUUCCUGGGUGGGCUCGCCCGCCAUCAGGACCAACCACAAACCUUUUGCAAUAGCAAUCAGCGUCAGUAACAACGUAAUUAAUUACAACUUUCAACAACGGAUCUCUUGGUUCUGGCAUCGAUGAAGAACGCAGCGAAAUGCGAUACGUAGUGUGAAUUGCAGAAUUCAGUGAAUCAUCGAAUCUUUGAACGCACAUUGCGCCCUUUGGUAUUCCAAAGGGCAUGCCUGUUCGAGCGUCAUUUGUACCCUCAAGCUUUGCUUGGUGUUGGGCGUCUUUUGUCUCCAGUUCGCUGGAGACUCGCCUUAAAGUCAUUGGCAGCCGGCCUACUGGUUUCGGAGCGCAGCACAAGUCGCGCUCUUUGCCAGCCAAGGUCAGCGUCCAGCAAGCCUUUUUUUCAACCUUUGACCUCGGAUCAGGUAGGGAUACCCGCUGAACUUAA
This 591-nucleotide ribosomal RNA is filed under the name uncultured fungus. RNAcentral describes it as "eukaryotic LSU rRNA". The stretch from base 237 to 390 matches the Rfam family "5.8S ribosomal RNA". The record is from RNAcentral. Lineage: Eukaryota; Fungi.